Molecule: long non-coding RNA, 526 nt
Filed under: Nicotiana tabacum (common tobacco)
Lineage: Eukaryota; Viridiplantae; Streptophyta; Magnoliopsida; Solanales; Solanaceae
Description: long non-coding RNA (NTAB_LNC012319)
Source: RNAcentral
GGUGCUUUUCACUUUUCCCGGAUCACUUCAUACUUCCAACUUCCUACUUAUGUUCUUUUGUUACUUGCAGAAGCAAAACCUAUGUAAAUCCUGAUAACUUUCAGUGGAGCUUCUUAGGAGAGAAAGAGAUGCUGAAAUCUUCCAAGAGUUUUAAAUCGAUCUUUCACAAAGGCGGCCUUUUAGCGACUCAAUUGGUAACUGUGAUACAUUUUCAUGUUCUAACAAACUGCUCUUAUUUUUAAUGGAGUAUUUAUUUCUAUUCUUUACAUAGAUACCCCAAUAACACAACGAUAUACUAAAAUCGUGAUGUUUCUUUUCAAGUUUAUUUAGGCAACUGCCAUGCCUGCAGGAAGUUGAAAGUUGUGUUAUCACUUAUUACACGCUCAGAGUAGUGAGACAAAAAGACCCUACCAUUGCUUCCGUUCUUUUCAAUGUGUAUAUAGGGUGAUUUAGUUUUGAGAUGGUAUGGAGAUUAUAUUGACAUUUCAAUCUGAUGAUAGUAAUAUCUUGUUCUAUUCAUUUGUUA